This 255-nucleotide ribosomal RNA is filed under the name uncultured bacterium. Its description in RNAcentral is "partial 16S ribosomal RNA". It matches the Rfam family "Bacterial small subunit ribosomal RNA", at positions 524 to 776 of the family's 1533-position model. The record is from RNAcentral.
UACAGAGGCCCCAAGCAUUAUCCGGAAUCACUGGGCGUAAAGGGUGUGUAGGCGGUCGUGUUAGUCUUUCGUGAAAGAUCUUCGGCUUAACCGAGGGGACGCGGAGGAAACGGCACGACUUAGAGGUAGCGAGAGGUAAAGGGAACUCAUAGUGUAGGGGUGAAAUCCGUUGAUAUUAUGGGGAACACCAAAUGCGAAGGCACUUUACUGGCGCUCACCUGACGCUGAGACACGAAAGCGUGGGAAUCGAACGGG